GACGAACGCUGGCGGCGUGCUUAACACAUGCAAGUCGAACGGUGAAGCGCCUUCCUUUUUGGUGGGUGUGGAUGAGUGGCGAACGGGUGAGUAACACGUGAGUAACCUGCCCCCUUCUUCUGGAUAACCGCAUGAAAGUGUGGCUAAUACGGGAUAUUCUGGGUCUGUCGCAUGAUGGGUCUGGGAAAGAUAUUGUUUCGGUGGGGGAUGGGCUCGCGGCCUAUCAGCUUGUUGGGGGGGUGAUGGCCUACCAAGGCGGUGACGGGUAGCCGGCCUGAGAGGGUGGACGGUCACACUGGGACUGAGACACGGCCCAGACUCCUACGGGAGGCAGCAGUGGGGAAUAUUGCACAAUGGGCGCAAGCCUGAUGCAGCGACGCCGCGUGAGGGAUGGAGGCCUUCGGGUUGUGAACCUCUUUCGCCAGUGAAGCAGGACUGCCUCGUGUGUGGGUGGGUUGACGGUAGCUGGAUAAGAAGCGCCGGCUAACUACGUG
Molecule: ribosomal RNA, 494 nt
Filed under: uncultured bacterium
Lineage: Bacteria
Description: partial 16S ribosomal RNA
Rfam family: Bacterial small subunit ribosomal RNA
Source: RNAcentral